AUGAAUUUAUCCCGUGAGCAGGUUGUUCUGAUGACGGUGACGUUGUGGUCAAUAUGGCAUGCGAGAUGCAAGGCGAUACAUGAAUCAAUUCUCCAGAGCCCCCAGGAUACUCACAGCUUCAUUGCCAGAUUUAUUGAUGAACUCGGCAUUAUCAGGAACAGGCAGGCGCAUACGCAUGCAAGAGCUGCCCCCCGGGUCACUCAACAGCCAAAGAAACCGCCCACGGGUUUCUGCAAAAUUCACGUCGAUGCGGGUGUCCAAGUGGGACAACGAGGAGCCGCAGCUGCUGUAUGUAGAGACAGGGGAGGAAACUACAUGGGGAGUGCAGCACUAGUAAUUGAAGGAGUUCAUGAUCCAGCAACACUUGAAGCAAUAGCUUGCCGAGAAGCUCUCUCCCUAGCAGAAGACCUGGGCAUACAGCAAUUGGUGGUGGCCUCUGACUGCCAGCGGGUUGUCUCUGAUAUCUCCGGAGGUGCACGGGGUGCAUAUGGUGCAAUUGUGACUGAAAUAAACCUUAGAGCUGCUACUUUUAAUUGUAAUUUUUCGUUUGAGUCUCGUGCCGUUAAUCAUGAGGCACAUAGUCUAGCCAAGUUUGCGAUAUCUAGAGGUUCGGGUCACCACGUCUGGUUGGGUGUACCUCAUGACCAAAUAUGUAUCCCACUCCAUGUGGUUUUUGCUGAAUAA
RNAcentral lists this ribosomal RNA (684 nucleotides) under Triticum aestivum (bread wheat). Its description in RNAcentral is "partial small subunit ribosomal RNA". The record is from RNAcentral. Lineage: Eukaryota; Viridiplantae; Streptophyta; Magnoliopsida; Poales; Poaceae.